UGCCAAUGAGGAACAGACAUCCUGUCUUACUCCCUGUUUUAAUCCCAGAGCCAGUAAUGGUGAACCCACUGGGGUGACUGGGAGAUGGGAUGAGAACUGGUUCUGUAAGGAACUGUCUGAGGUGC
Small nucleolar RNA from Oryctolagus cuniculus (rabbit), 125 nucleotides. Its record names the gene SNORD22. It matches the Rfam family "Small nucleolar RNA SNORD22". Rfam says of the family: U22 is a member of the C/D class of snoRNA which contain the C (UGAUGA) and D (CUGA) box motifs. U22 is encoded within the U22 snoRNA host gene (UHG) in mammals and has also been identified in Xenopus. U22 is thought to as a 2'-O-ribose methylation guide for ribosomal RNA. The record is from Ensembl. NCBI's taxonomy places the organism in Eukaryota, Metazoa, Chordata, Mammalia, Lagomorpha, Leporidae.